This 448-nucleotide ribosomal RNA is filed under the name uncultured bacterium. RNAcentral's name for it is "bacterial SSU rRNA". It matches the Rfam family "Bacterial small subunit ribosomal RNA", at positions 330 to 793 of the family's 1533-position model. The record is from RNAcentral.
CCCAGACUCCUACGGGAGGCAGCAGUGGGGAAUAUUGGGCAAUGGGCGAAAGCCUGACCCAGCAACGCCGCGUGAAGGAAGAAGGCUUUCGGGUUGUAAACUUCUUUUGACAGGGAAGAGCAGAAGACGGUACCUGUCGAAUAAGCCACGGCUAACUACGUGCCAGCAGCCGCGGUAAUACGUAGGGGGCAAGCGUUAUCCGGAUUUACUGGGUGUAAAGGGGGCGCAGACGGCGAUGCAAGCCAGGAGUGAAAGCCCGGGGCCCAACCCCGGGACUGCUCUUGGAACUGCGUGGCUGGAGUGCAGGAGGGGCAGGCGGAAUUCCUAGUGUAGCGGUGAAAUGCGUAGAUAUUAGGAGGAACACCAGUGGCGAAGGCGGCCUGCUGGACUGCAACUGACGUUGAGGCUCGAAGGCGUGGGGAGCAAACAGGAUUAGAUACCCCGGUAU